CAAGGAUCUUCAGGAACUGAAAUGAUCAGAACUUGGGAAUGACUGCAUGUGCGAAUAAGGGGGAAAAGUCAAGGAAAUGCCCAGGUUUGGGGCCCAAGGAACAGGUUUGGGAGGCCGAGGUGAGGAGUUCAGCUUUGGACAUAAUGAGUUUGAGAUGCCCACAGGACAUCCAAAUACAAAUGUUAAAGGGGUAACUGAAUAUAUGUGACUGGAGUUUGCGAAAUCAAGGCUGGUGAUAGAGAUUCUGGAAUCUUCUGAAAGCAGAUGGCAAUUGAAGCUAUGGAAAUGGAUGAGAGAGUGUGUAAAGAGCACGAGGGCCCAGGUUAGAACAGCAAGGGCAGGUAGAGAAGUCACCAAAGGACACUGACCAGUGCUACUACCAAAGCAGUCAGGAAGUUGAAGAUAAGGCAGACAACUGGAUUGAUUCAGUUAAGAAUUGAGGCACAAAAGCU
This 452-nucleotide long non-coding RNA is filed under the name Homo sapiens (human). Its description in RNAcentral is "non-protein coding lnc-FAM103A1-2:1". The record is from RNAcentral. Lineage: Eukaryota; Metazoa; Chordata; Mammalia; Primates; Hominidae.